This 253-nucleotide ribosomal RNA is filed under the name uncultured bacterium. RNAcentral's name for it is "partial 16S ribosomal RNA". It matches the Rfam family "Bacterial small subunit ribosomal RNA", at positions 524 to 776 of the family's 1533-position model. The record is from RNAcentral.
UACGUAGGGUCCGAGCGUUGUCCGGAAUUACUGGGCGUAAAGAGCUCGUAGGUGGUUUGUCGCGUUGUCCGUGAAAACUCACAGCUCAACUGUGGGCGUGCGGGCGAUACGGGCAGACUGGAGUACUGCAGGGGAGACUGGAAUUCCUGGUGUAGCGGUGGAAUGCGCAGAUAUCAGGAGGAACACCGGUGGCGAAGGCGGGUCUCUGGGCAGUAACUGACGCUGAGGAGCGAAAGCAUGGGGAGCGAACAGG